GAUGAAGAACGUAGUGAAAUGCGAUAAGUAAUGUGAAUUGCAGAAUUCAGUGAACCAUCGAAUCUUUGAACGCACAUUGCGCCCCCUGGUAUUCCGGGGGGCAUGCCUGUCCGAGCGUCAUUGCUGCCCUCAAGCACGGCUUGUGUGUUGGGCCUCCGUCCUCCUCCCGGGGGACGGGCCCGAAAGGCAGCGGCGGCACCGCGUCCGGUCCUCGAGCGUAUGGGGCUUCGUCACCCGCUCUUGUAGGCCCGGCCGGCGCUUGCCGACACAUCAAUCUUUUUUCCAGGUUGACCUCGGAUCAGGUAGGGAUACCCGCUGAACUUAAGCAUAUCAAUAAGCGGAGGA
Molecule: unclassified non-coding RNA, 345 nt
Filed under: soil metagenome
Description: partial contains 5.8S ribosomal RNA, internal transcribed spacer 2, and large subunit ribosomal RNA
Rfam family: 5.8S ribosomal RNA (bases 1-120)
Source: RNAcentral